This is a long non-coding RNA of Alosa alosa (allis shad), 746 nucleotides long. RefSeq lists it as uncharacterized. The record is from RefSeq and is a predicted model, not a curated record. The transcript is spliced from 3 exons. Lineage: Eukaryota; Metazoa; Chordata; Actinopteri; Clupeiformes; Clupeidae.
CAGAAGCAGGCCCAUUCAACUGCUUCAAAAAAUAGCUGAAACAACAACUCACCACUGCAGGAACUGACCUUAAGACCUCAGAGUGUAUACGACUACACUCAUACGCAGGUGGUGCUCAACAAUCAGGAGGAGAGCAGCAAGAACAGACCACAUCAGGCACAAAGAUUCAGAGAAUAAGCAAACACCAUUCAGGACUUAGGAUUCAAACAUUCCUGAGGAAAAACUUAAGUCAAGGCUUUUCCCUGUUCACAAUAUUCUGUUAACAUUGCCAGAGUUGGGAGAUAUGAGCGUUGCAAACGGGCUGAUCAUCCUGAGAAGACAAUGCGUGGGCUGGCCCAGGACUUGGAGCCCCGAGGACGAGCCAGACAGACAGACAAAGUGGACGCUCCUCUCGUCUGCCCGCCACAGUCAAUCUCAAGCUUUUUUUUGAUGACCUCCGCACCCCUCCAGCUCCUCCAUUGUUUGCGAGCAACAGCCGCUAUUGGGAGGAAUACAUCGACCUGCUGGUUAAUUAGGGAUGAUUGGACACUGCUCAUGCCCCGGGAGCUCCCAUUAAUCCAAAGAAAGAUGCAACAGUCAUUAAAGCUCAUCCUUCAGAGAAUGAGAUGAAGCAUGCCUGCAAAAGCUAGGGUAGUGAACUAUUUUUUUUACUGGUGUAGAUUUGUAGGUGUUUUUCAAUAGUUGUAACAUUAUUGAUGUGUUUUGUUUUUUUGUUUUGUUUUUGUCUGAUUACGGCAGUUGUGUCA